AGUGAAGCAGGGCAGAAGCUGGAAGAUGUCUUUCAGUCCUCGUAUAAAACAAAAGGGUCAUGUAGAAAAGAAAAAAAAAAAAAAAAUUAUAUAUACAGAUACAUGUGUUCCCAACAUGAUGAGGAAGUUUGACAGUAGAAAAAUAUAGAGCCUUUAUCAAAGUCACUUCGCCAGAAAAUAAAUCCAACACGCAAAAUUCAGGAUCAUUCCUACAAAGUGUUUAGUUAUCGAGACAAAUCCAAACUGCAGGAGGCUGAACUGAAGGCAUUUUGGCAUUUUGAACUCAUAGC
Long non-coding RNA from Salarias fasciatus (jewelled blenny), 290 nucleotides. RefSeq lists it as uncharacterized. The transcript is spliced from 3 exons. NCBI's taxonomy places the organism in Eukaryota, Metazoa, Chordata, Actinopteri, Blenniiformes, Blenniidae. The record is from RefSeq and is a predicted model, not a curated record.